This 465-nucleotide ribosomal RNA is filed under the name Vreelandella stevensii. RNAcentral describes it as "partial 16S ribosomal RNA". It matches the Rfam family "Bacterial small subunit ribosomal RNA", at positions 338 to 795 of the family's 1533-position model. Lineage: Bacteria; Pseudomonadati; Pseudomonadota; Gammaproteobacteria; Oceanospirillales; Halomonadaceae. The record is from RNAcentral.
CCUACGGGUGGCAGCAGUGGGGAAUAUUGGACAAUGGGGGGAACCCUGAUCCAGCCAUGCCGCGUGUGUGAAGAAGGCCCUCGGGUUGUAAAGCACUUUCAGUGAGGAAGAACGCCUGGUGGUUAAUACCCAUCAGGAAAGACAUCACUCACAGAAGAAGCACCGGCUAACUCCGUGCCAGCAGCCGCGGUAAUACGGAGGGUGCGAGCGUUAAUCGGAAUUACUGGGCGUAAAGCGCGCGUAGGUGGCUUGAUAAGCCGGUUGUGAAAGCCCCGGGCUCAACCUGGGAACGGCAUCCGGAACUGUCAAGCUAGAGUGCAGGAGAGGAAGGUAGAAUUCCCGGUGUAGCGGUGAAAUGCGUAGAGAUCGGGAGGAAUACCAGUGGCGAAGGCGGCCUUCUGGACUGACACUGACACUGAGGCGCGAAAGCGUGGGUAGCAAACAGGAUUAGAUACCCCUGUAGUC